Long non-coding RNA from Pongo pygmaeus (Bornean orangutan), 2414 nucleotides. RefSeq lists it as uncharacterized. The record is from RefSeq and is a predicted model, not a curated record. The transcript has 3 exons. NCBI's taxonomy places the organism in Eukaryota, Metazoa, Chordata, Mammalia, Primates, Hominidae.
CCAGCUAUGAAGCAGGUCGUGGGCCCUCGCCAGACACUGAAUCUGCCAACACUGUGAUCUUGGAUUUCCUAGCCUGCAGAACUUCUUGAAAGAUGGGAAGAUCAGGAGCAGUCUGGAGUCAUGGUAUAUGAAUGAACUAGUGAGAGUGGGCACAAAGUCUGAAGAUCUUUGUGGUGCAGCUAAUGUCUAAGGGAGAAUAUACCUACCCUAGAAGAGACAUUAAACAACCAGGAAGCUUACUGCAGGAAAGAAAUCCCUCAGAGUCCUGAAGAUACAGCUUUCGGAACUUAGGUGAAGCAAGAGGACUCAAGGUGUGCAAGAAUGGACAGUACAGAAUGCUCUGCUACACUGCUCAGAUUCCCCCUUCAGGAAGGAAGGACAAAUUCACUCAACUUCUGGGAGCAUUGAUGGUUGAGCUCUCAGCCAUCAGAACUUUUUGGAAGUCGCCCUCUUCUGAAAAGAGGCACAUUGCCCAAGAUAUUUCCUCCUCCAGAGCGCAAGCUGCACCUGAAGACUGAUUGAUGUGGGGUAUGAUGGUCUGGUCUCCUUUCCCCAUCUAAAGGACUGUUGUAACCUCAGGGCUCUCCUUGAGGUUUCCUUAGUUCUUAUUACUAUGUUGCAGUCCAACUUCUUCUUUGGCCUAAUUCUACUUUCCUCCCAUUCCCCAGUUGUUGAUCCUGACAGCAAUUUCCCUCCACAUUUCUGUAAACUAAGCAUGAUCUCAGAGUCACCUGACCUGCAACAUUAUUACAUACACUAUAGUCUGUGCUCUUAAAGAUUUAGUGAAAGCAUGCUGCUGAAGCUUGCCAGAACUUCCCUUCUUCCACUGAAAAUUUGUCUGUUCAUAGAUAUACACCAUUUGUUCUCUUCUCUACUUUGGCCAAUUAUCUUAUGUUUGGGAAGGUGUUCUGCUAGAAGACAAAAUAGCAGUUCUUAGAACUAGAAAGAAAAACACAUCAAAGUCUGUCCUUUCUUAUGUUCUAUCUACAACAAAUAACCCUGUGAUAAAAAGGAUGAUAGGAAAUAUAAGUAGUUUGAGUCCACCAAAUAUUUGGUUGAAGUAUUUGGGUAUGAAAUACAAACUCACUCGAUCUGGGCUCAAAUUCACCAGCAUUUCUUUUCUUUCUUCUCUUUUCAGAAACAGACUUUAUUUAUAUCAAUGUUAACAUCAAUCACAUAACCAUCAGGAAGGCUAUAACUUUGACUUUUUUUGUCCAAUAGUUGGGCCAAGUUUUCAUUUCUCUUAUUUUACUUUUUAUUAUUAUUUUUUUGAGAUGGAGUCUUACUCUGUCACCCAGGCUGCAGUGCAAUGGCGUCAUCUCAGCUCACUGCAACCUCCGCCUCCUGGGUUCCAACGAUUCUCCUGCCUCAGCCUCCUGAGAAGCUGGGAUUACAAGUGCAUGCCACCACACCCGGCUAAUAUUUGUACUUUCAGUAGAGACUGGGUUUCACCACGUUGGUCAGGCUUGUCCCAAACUCCUGACCUUGCGAUCCACCUGCCUUGGCCUCCCAAAGUGCUGAGAUUACAGGUGUGAGCCACCGUGCCCGGACCAUUUCUUUUCUUAUAUAUCAGCCUAUGCCAGGGGAGAAACUGGCUGAGGUUAAAGGCUAAUGUCAAGUACUAACUGAGCAACAAAUGGAUAACCUCAACAAUGCAAUAUCCUGGUUGAAAUUGUUAGUGAAUUUUUUUGGCAGACCUGAGAUCUAUGUAUCUCCAUUCAACAAGUAAAGGUAGGCUAUUUCCUUAAAUGCAAAUUCCUAUAAAAAAUAUCAGAAGUAUAUUAUGUAUUGAAAGUUAAAAAGCAUAUAACUUUUUAAAUGUUUAAUAAAAUUCACCAGUGUACACCAUCAUUUUCAUUGAGAAAAGUUCCUAAUCAUGAAUUCUAUUUACUUAAUAAUAUUAUUCAAUAUUUUUCUUUCAUUUUUGUUAAUUUGAUUUGUUAUGGCUUCUCAAAAAAGCUUGUCCUUUUCAUCUAAUUUGUUCAAUUUAUUUUCAUGAAACUGUUCACAUACUUAAUCUUUCAUUCCUUGUUAUGUAACCAGAUUUCCAUCCGGUACCGUUUACUCCGAGCCAAAGAACCAGAAGCCAAAAGAACUUCCUGUAGCAUUUCCUGAAAUACAUACCUGCUGAUUAACACUUUUCUACGUUGACAAGUUAUAUAGUUGUCUUUCAUUUAGUUUAAAGAUGUUGUUCCAUUGUCUUCUGAUUUUCAUUGUUUCUGAUGAGAGGUCAGCUUUGUUUCUUAUUAUUGGUCCUCUGCAUUUAAUGUGUAAUAUGUCUUUUCUUCUCUUGCUUUUCAAAUGUUCUGUUUAAUUCUGAUUUUCAGCAGUUUAAUAUAAUGUCCAUUGCUUGUUUUUUGCUUAGAUUCCUGAAAUUAUGUGUGGGUUUUUAAAUAAAGUUUGAAAAUUUCUAA